RNAcentral lists this ribosomal RNA (253 nucleotides) under uncultured bacterium. RNAcentral describes it as "partial 16S ribosomal RNA". It matches the Rfam family "Bacterial small subunit ribosomal RNA", at positions 524 to 776 of the family's 1533-position model. The record is from RNAcentral.
UACGAAGGGGGCUAGCGUUGCUCGGAAUCACUGGGCGUAAAGGGUGCGUAGGCGGGUCUUUAAGUCAGGGGUGAAAUCCUGGAGCUCAACUCCAGAACUGCCUUUGAUACUGAAGAUCUUGAGUCCGGGAGAGGUGAGUGGAACUGCGAGUGUAGAGGUGAAAUUCGUAGAUAUUCGCAAGAACACCAGUGGCGAAGGCGGCUCGCUGGGACGUGACUGACGCUGAGACGCGAAAGCGUGGGGAGCAAACAGG